Molecule: long non-coding RNA, 809 nt
Organism: Brassica rapa (field mustard)
Lineage: Eukaryota; Viridiplantae; Streptophyta; Magnoliopsida; Brassicales; Brassicaceae
Source: RefSeq, a predicted model, not a curated record
ACAACGGUUGUGUGAUGUUGCUUGGAACAUGCGGCCUCAGUUGCAAAAACGUUCUUGAUGUCUGAAUGUGUUGUUGUUGAGAUUAAGGAGCCUAAACCAGUUUCUGCAGGCAACUCAAUGGACAAUUCAGGUUAUUCCUAUUACUCUGAAUCCAUUGAUGGAAGCUUGGACAAUAACAUCAGAACUCAUGUUUCUUUAUCUCUGAAUCUCUUUGACUUUGUCUUGUUGUAGGAUAUGGAUACUAAGAUAGACCAGCCGGAUUUACUCUUGAAAAUCAGAGAUAAAUGAACGUUCUGAAAUGAGAGUAGCUCAUCGGAUACAAAUUACUUUUAGCUUGCAAACAAAUGUUGAUGUGCUAAGUGUAAUGAUUUUUUGAAUCAGAGCAUAAUGUGUUAAAAGUAUUCAAGAGUAAACAUUGUUGUAAGUUAUAAUAUCUUAAGUCUAACAUAUAAGUUUUAGCCACUUUUUGAGACAUCAUAAUCGUAUGUAUUUAUCAAAUUUGUCCCCAAAAGAAGUUCGUAAGACACUUGAAAGUACAAAAAUAUUGGGAAAGGCAUAAGAGACUUGUUGUGAUAACAAGAGAAAAAAAGACAAAAUGAAUAGCAAGAACAUAUGAGCAUCUCAUGCUACAGCUUCUGCUUAUGUCACACUUGGAUCCCGAUUUUCUUUGGUAAAUUAUCUUUGUGUAUACAUACAUGAGAAAUACUUGAAUCGUGGUCCUUUCUUUAUCAUGCAGGAAUCAAACUAUUGAGGUAAAUAUGAUGGAUUCUUGAUACUUUAAGACAAACCUUUGCCUAAUAUUAUGUUAG